GUCUUGUAAUUGGAAUGAUGGUGACCUAAACCCUCACCAGAGUAACAAUUGGAGGGCAAGUCUGGUGCCAGCAGCCGCGGUAAUUCCAGCUCCAAUAGCGUAUAUUAAACUUGUUGCAGUUAAAAAGCUCGUAGUUGAAUUUCUGCGUUAUCGAGUUAUUGACUCUUGUCUUUAAUCGAUUUCGCUUUUGGGAUUUAUCCCUUUUUACUUUGAGAAAAUUAGAGUGUUUCAAGCAGACUUUUGUCUUGAAUACUUCAGCAUGGAAUAAUAGAGUAGGACUUUGGUUCUAUUUUGUUGGUUUUUGAACCUUAGUAAUGGUUAAUAGGAACGGUUGGGGGCAUUCGUAUUUAACUGUCAGAGGUGAAAUUCUUAGAUUUGUUAAAGACGAACUACUGCGAAAGCAUUUGCCAAGGACGUUUCCAUUAAUCAAGAACGAAAGUUAGGGGAUCGAAGACGAUCAGAUAUUAGGGGAUCGAAGACGAUCAGAUACCGUCGUAGUCCUAACCAUAAACUA
Molecule: ribosomal RNA, 514 nt
Filed under: Babesia venatorum (nom. ined.)
Lineage: Eukaryota; Apicomplexa; Aconoidasida; Piroplasmida; Babesiidae
Description: SSU rRNA
Rfam family: Eukaryotic small subunit ribosomal RNA
Source: RNAcentral